Molecule: non-coding RNA, 145 nt
Organism: Gossypium raimondii (Peruvian cotton)
Lineage: Eukaryota; Viridiplantae; Streptophyta; Magnoliopsida; Malvales; Malvaceae
Source: Rfam
UGUUAAAAAUUUCAUCCAUUUUUUCUGUUAAAAAUUGUCAUUGCUGACAGAAUAACUAGACAGUUACACGUGACGUGCCACAUGUACCUCAUUCUGACAUACAGUGACCAAUUUUUAACAGUAAAAAUGGAUGAAAUUGUUAAAA